RNAcentral lists this ribosomal RNA (336 nucleotides) under Vibrio cholerae. Its description in RNAcentral is "bacterial SSU rRNA". It matches the Rfam family "Bacterial small subunit ribosomal RNA", at positions 197 to 514 of the family's 1533-position model. The record is from RNAcentral. Lineage: Bacteria; Pseudomonadati; Pseudomonadota; Gammaproteobacteria; Vibrionales; Vibrionaceae.
AAGAGCAAAGCAGGGGACCUUCGGGCCUUGCGCUACCGGAUAUGCCCAGGUGGGAUUAGCUAGUUGGUGAGGUAAGGGCUCACCAAGGCGACGAUCCCUAGCUGGUCUGAGAGGAUGAUCAGCCACACUGGAACUGAGACACGGUCCAGACUCCUACGGGAGGCAGCAGUGGGGAAUAUUGCACAAUGGGCGCAAGCCUGAUGCAGCCAUGCCGCGUGUAUGAAGAAGGCCUUCGGGUUGUAAAGUACUUUCAGUAGGGAGGAAGGUGGUUAAGCUAAUACCUUAAUCAUUUGACGUUACCUACAGAAGAAGCACCGGCUAACUCCGUGCCAGCAG